This 496-nucleotide ribosomal RNA is filed under the name uncultured bacterium. Its description in RNAcentral is "partial 16S ribosomal RNA". It matches the Rfam family "Bacterial small subunit ribosomal RNA", at positions 29 to 507 of the family's 1533-position model. The record is from RNAcentral.
ACGCACGCUGGCGGCGUGCCUAAUCCAUGCAAGUUGAGCGCUGAAGGUUGGUACUUGUACCAACUGGAUGAGCAGCGAACGGGUGAGUAACGCGUGGGGAAUCUGCCUUUGAGCGGGGGACAACAUUUGGAAACGAAUGCUAAUACCGCAUAAAAACUUUAAACACAAGUUUUAAGUUUGAAAGAUGCAAUUGCAUCACUCAAAGAUGAUCCCGCGUUGUAUUAGCUAGUUGGUGAGGUAAAGGCUCACCAAGGCGAUGAUACAUAGCCGACCUGAGAGGGUGAUCGGCCACAUUGGGACUGAGACACGGCCCAAACUCCUACGGGAGGCAGCAGUAGGGAAUCUUCGGCAAUGGACGAAAGUCUGACCGAGCAACGCCGCGUGAGUGAAGAAGGGUUUCGGAUCGUAAAACUCUGUUGGUAGAGAAGAACGUUGGUGAGAGUGGAAAGCUCAUCAAGUGACGGUAACUACCCAGAAAGGGACGGCUAACUACGUG